This 423-nucleotide ribosomal RNA is filed under the name uncultured prokaryote. RNAcentral describes it as "bacterial SSU rRNA". It matches the Rfam family "Bacterial small subunit ribosomal RNA", at positions 355 to 776 of the family's 1533-position model. RNAcentral also lists the same sequence under 1 other name. The record is from RNAcentral.
UAGGGAAUUUUCGGCAAUGGAGGAAACUCUGACCGAGCAACGCCGCGUGAGUGAAGACGGCCUUCGGGUUGUAAAGCUCUGUUGUAAGGGAAGAAAGACAGCGAGAGAAUCGCUGGUUGACGGUACCUUACCAGAAAGCCACGGCUAACUACGUGCCAGCAGCCGCGGUAAUACGUAGGUGGCGAGCGUUAUCCGGAAUUAUUGGGCGUAAAGGGUGCGUAGGCGGAGAGUUAAGUUUAUGGUGAAAGCGUGGGGCUCAACCCCAUACAGCCAUAGAUACUGGCUCACUAGAGUACUGGAGAGGGAAGUGGAAUUCCAUGUGUAGCGGUAAAAUGCGUAGAUAUAUGGAGGAACACCGGUGGCGAAGGCGGCUUCCUAGACAGAUACUGACGCUCAGGCACGAAAGCGUGGGGAGCAAAUAGG